UAUGGCGAAGGUGAUGGGGUUCCACCUAAUUGAACCGCCGAAUUGUUGAGACGCUCAGCGUCAAACAACCCUCUCGGCUGAUGACUCCUACUAAAAU
Molecule: non-coding RNA, 97 nt
Filed under: Vibrio sp.
Lineage: Bacteria; Pseudomonadati; Pseudomonadota; Gammaproteobacteria; Vibrionales; Vibrionaceae
Also listed under: 1 other name
Description: Fluoride sequence
Rfam family: Fluoride riboswitch aptamer (crcB RNA motif)
Source: RNAcentral